AGGGCACCACCAGGAGUGGAGCCUGCGGCUUAAUUUGACUCAACACGGGGAAACUCACCCGGCCCGGACACCGUAAGGAUUGACAGAUUGAUAGCUCUUUCAUGAUUCGGUGGUUGGUGGUGCAUGGCCGUUCUUAGUCCGUGGAUCGAUUUGUCUGGUUUAUUCCGAUAACGAGCGAGACUCUAGCCUACUAAAUAGUAACGAGAUUAUCAAUGUCUCAGUUGCUUCUUAGAGGGAUUUUCGGUGUUUAGCCGCACGAGAUUGAGCAAUAACAGGUCUGUGAUGCCCUUAGAUGUCCGGGGCUGCACGCGCGCUACACUGGCGAAAUCAGUGUGCUGUAUCCAUUCUCGAAAGGGAUUGGUAAACCCAUGAAAAUUUGCCGUGCUUGGGAUCGGAAAUUGCAAUUAUUUUCCGUGAACGAGGAAUUCCAAGUAAGUGCGAGUCAUCAACUCGCUCUGAUUACGUCCCUGCCCUUUGUACACACCGCCCGUCGCUGCCCGGGACUGAGCCAUUUCGAGA
RNAcentral lists this ribosomal RNA (519 nucleotides) under uncultured eukaryote. RNAcentral's name for it is "SSU rRNA". It matches the Rfam family "Eukaryotic small subunit ribosomal RNA", at positions 1161 to 1704 of the family's 1831-position model. The record is from RNAcentral.